Long non-coding RNA from Cygnus atratus (black swan), 1163 nucleotides. RefSeq lists it as uncharacterized. The record is from RefSeq and is a predicted model, not a curated record. The transcript has 3 exons. Lineage: Eukaryota; Metazoa; Chordata; Aves; Anseriformes; Anatidae.
AUUGUGCAGCCUCCGCGCCCCCGCCCCUCGGCGUGCGCCCGGGCUCCGCGCGCGCGGAAUGGCGGCGGCGGCGGCGGCGGCCGUUUGAAGGCAACGGCUGCGGGCGGGGCGCGAGCCGGGAAAAUAGUGUAGAAGGAUAACACGCAUGGCUCCUCCGAAGUCGAGUUUUAUCGAAGCAAGCGAGAUGACUGCUCAAAUAAAUGAAUAUUCAUUGGAGGAAGGUAUUCUCAGUCUUCUGUAUCUGAAAUGAAUUUUGUCAUUUCUGGGCUUUGGAGUCAUUGUCUGACUGUUUGAUGUAAUGAAAUGUUUUACGCAGAAUGAAACAGCUCAAAUCAGUGGGAUAAUGAGAGAAAUCCUUAAAUCCAUACAUUGACUGUGGAACUGACUUGUUGCACGGGGAUGGCCAGUUUGAACACAAACCAUGGAUAAAAACUGAUGUUUGAAGGGAAACUCUCUUAGGUCAAUCCAGCAAGCUCAAAGAACACCGAAGGCAUACGGCAAAGGAGCACAAAGGCCCUUUUGUGAGGGUAUUCUUUCAUGUUAACUCUUUUAUUUAGGGUCAGCACUGCAAAAUAGGUGGACAGGUUAUUGAAAACGGGAAGAGUGAUUGAUGUUGAGGUACUUUUACUGGUAGCGCUCAUGCUAACUGAUGCAUUACAGCAGCUUGUCUAGCAGCACCAAGUUGCAACCUCCAAAGUAAUGCCUGUGGACUAGCCAAAAUCAGGGUUGUCAACAAUAUUUCUGCAGUGUGAUACUGUUCAUGUUUUGAGUGUCCAUAAUCUUUUUCAUUUGUGCCCUUUCAUGAUGGUGACAUGGGUUCAGCCAGGUUGCUGCCAGAUCAUCUGUGCCGGACAUGCGGUGUCGCUACCGAAGAGCCACCGCUGGUAGCACAGAACAGUUUUCUGCAAGAGAUUCUCAUUUCGCAAGACAGAACAGCACCCUCUGCAGUCAUUCCGGCAUAGACCUUCGAGAAAUUCCAAGCACUUUUUAGGAAAAUGACAAGUAAUUUAUAAUUCGAUAAUAUGUGUGAACUUAAGAUAUGUAGUUCAAGCAGCUUUUGUAAAAAUGGCAUGCAGACUCAGCUGUUCAGUAAAAAGGAAAUGCUUAACUUGUUAAAUCUUGUUCAGCCACUAGCCGUUGAGUAUGUGUGCAGAAAUGCUUAG